AAACCAUGAUGAGGACACUUACGAAGAAGGUCCUUGAAUCGUUCAUGGGCUUCAAAGAGUGUCUCAGUAUCACCAUGUCGGAAAGACAAUAUCUCCUGCCUUAGUCU
Molecule: small nucleolar RNA, 107 nt
Organism: Dioscorea cayenensis subsp. rotundata (Guinea yam)
Lineage: Eukaryota; Viridiplantae; Streptophyta; Magnoliopsida; Dioscoreales; Dioscoreaceae
Source: RefSeq, a predicted model, not a curated record